This is a long non-coding RNA of Sapajus apella (tufted capuchin), 4005 nucleotides long. RefSeq lists it as uncharacterized. Lineage: Eukaryota; Metazoa; Chordata; Mammalia; Primates; Cebidae. The transcript is spliced from 3 exons. The record is from RefSeq and is a predicted model, not a curated record.
GGAUAAAGUAGCUUGGUCUUUAUGCUAAUGGGACAAGUGUUUUAAAGCUAAAACUUACCUGGGCUUUAAAUGAGUUUGGAAGUGCCUGCCAGCUGAGGGGUAAAGCUGAAAUUUCACCCGUUUGUCGCUUACUGCAGUUUGCUUGGGUUUUGGGGGAGAGGGAUGAGAUGACAUUGGAUAGGCAAAGCAGUGACAUCAGUCUCCUGGCGUUUAAAAAAAAGUCUCUCCAGUUUCCUCUGUGGUGAGCCAAAUUUUCAGUUUCACAGUUAAGUCUAAACUUAAAGCUUUGUUGGCUGAAAUAAGAACUUUGCGGAAUGACAUUUCUGUUUUCAGGGCUUCUGUUGAGACCAUAUUGCUGGCGUAGGAAUUUAGCUUCAUGGGACAGGAGACAGUUUCCGCUCUAGUGAGUAAUGUUCCCCUAUUUCAGAUGGAAAAACAUUGAAAAUCAUGAUUUUGGCCCUUGAAGAACAGCUAUUCGUGGCUGCCAUGGUUAACUCUGUCUCUAGCUUUGCUUUGGCAACGAAGGUCGAUUUACCACAAUAACAGGGACUUUGAUUUUAUGGCGCUUGACAUCUUAAAAGUUGCUGGAGUGUUUCACAAAUUGGUAAGUAGACCAGACCAAAUAUGCUGACUUCUGAGCAGUGAUCUCAAGAAAACGUGAGGAUGCGUAUAUACAUGUGUGCGCGCGCGCGCGUGUGUGUGUGUGUGUGUGUGUGUGUGUGUCUUGAAUUAUAAAAAACAGGCUCAGGAACGUCCUAGCCAGACAUUUUAGGACCCCGUCUAUAAAAUGUAGACCUGGGAAUAACCACAAGCAUUGGCGGCACCUGGUUUAGGAAGGGCUAUUCCAGCCCUUUUGCUUUCCUCAAGAGAACCUGACCGAGGCCCUCAUGAGCUACUUUGUCACUUCCCAACAUAUUGUCCUGCUGAGCGAAAGAACAUUCUUUGUGGCGGUAAAGAACCUCCCAUAUGACUUUUAUGUUCCCUGCUGUCCCCAGAAUCAAAGUUCAGGUCCUAAGCCUGGGAGGCAGGGCCUCCAUCUGUGUCCUGGCCCCCAUCUCCUGUUCUGGUCUUAAUUCCUGCAUCUCUGGAGGCAGUUAGGCUUUAGUUCGAAACGUCUAUACAAAUCACUUCAUGCUUACUUCAAAGCAAAUGCAGCAUUUCGGUACUAACUGGGAGCCGAACACUUACCUUGUAAGGUUAGAUUAAGGUGUACAUUUAAUGAGCCAGAGGCACAAACUCUUACCUAUUCCAGGGGGCUACUCACAGCAGGAGCCAGUGCAGCGCCACUCAGCAGAGCUGUCCCCAGGGUUGUGAAGAAGGGGCCUGCAGCAAGCCUGGGUUGUGCCAAACCUGGGAAGCCAGUGCUUUCUGUUUCCCUGCCCAUUCAUCCUUGUCCCUGGACUCACAUCGCCAUUCCUGAAGAACUUGCAGGGCAAUAUUAUGCCUACCACUUAAAGGGGACAUUGACAAGCCUGACUAAGGCCCAGCAAGGCCACAUCCACGUCCAGGAGGAGACAGACAGUAGAGUUGGUGCCCCGCUGUCCCAGAAUGGCAUCUGACUCCUGUCUGCCUGUGCUCUUGAAGCCCAUUCCCCCGAGGGGCACUCUCACCUCCUAUUUAAUAUCCUUCGUCUGUCUGGGAAUGAUUUUCACAAAUCAGUGUCCCUGCAGGUAGUUGGAAGGAACAAAUGAGAUAAUUCCCACCAUGUUCUUAGCACAGAGCCUGGCUUGCGGUAAGUGUUCAAUAAAUGUUAGCUGCUGUUAUUAUCGUGAUUACUCACCUGCUCUGUGCUCUACAGAGCGUUAAAUACGCAUGGCACCCUACGUAAACCCUUUACUUCCUGGCCGCCGCCUUUCUCUUUGCCUCAAAACGUCCUUUCUUCUGUCUUUGCCUCCAAACCAUCCCCAUCCUGUUCAGCUUUGCUCAAAUGCCACGCCCCCUGGGGGAGCCUUUUCAGAUUGCUUCCUGCUUCCCUUUCCCAGGCUGGAAACGUGCAUGCUCUCCUGCUCUCCCUCUUCCCUGCCCCAUGCUACUUUACCUUUCCUAGAGCAAGGCUUCUCAGACUUUCUGUGGUCAAGAACCGGCCCCAUUUCCCCCAGUCCAUCAUGGUUCAAUACUUUAUAAAGUACAAUGAGAAAGAAAAAGGCAGUGAAAAAUACAAGCUCCAUUUUUAUGUAUUACAGUUAAUAGACACUAAAUGAUACAAUCACAUAUAUGGGCAAGCUUUUGAAGGCCUACUCUCAGUUUCUGUACUUCUCUUGCCUCAGCAAUGACCAAUUUGAGGACCAGCAUCAGUUCAUGGAGCACACUGGGAAUAGUGCAGUUACAUUAUCCCCGUCUUCACGGGCACAGUUACUCGGGUACAUGUCUAACUCAGUGAACCCAGCCUUCCACACCUGGCGGGAGGCUUUAUACAUACAGGGUUGUGUGAUAAAUUAGUUGAAUUGAAUGAAUGAAUGAAUGAAUAAAUGCACAAUAAAUAUUAAUUGAAUUGAAUGAAUGAAUAAAUGAUUGACUUGCUAAGCAUAUUUAAAACUCAUAGACCUUAGGAAGAAUUUUUCUUAAUGAAUGGCAUGCCAAAGGGAUUAUAACUUUUUUUAUCUUUGCCUUUUAUAAAAUUCACUCAUUUGCGUUGCAUAUUAGACCAAUUCUUUUUCCUUAGUUUUUAAAACAUUUUUUAUUUUCCAUCUCUGCUAGCUAAAUGGAGAUAAGGUUUAUACUUUCAUAAAAAUAAGGGCAUACUUGAUAAAUAUGUUAGGAAAUAAGAUAGGUGAGAAUCUUAAGAAAACCCAUACCUUAUGCUUUAGGAAGAAUCAGUAUUUCUGAAAUGAAUAAUUGCAAAUUAAAGAGCAGAAGAAAGAGAUUAUAUACUUAUAUGUAUAUUAACUUGACAAGAACAGUUACCACUCAAGAACCAUAUUGAAUUACAAAAAGUAAACGUUUAUUUUGUAGUAUUGCCAUCAAUCACCAAAUCAAUAUUAUUUGAAAAGAAAAUCUCCCUACCAAGGUUUUUUUCCUCCUUGAGGAAUGCAGUGGUAAUUCUCAGACUCGCGGCAAAGGAACCAGUGCACCAGAAAGCAUGCCUUCCUUUAAUCACUGUGUCUGUCUCAACCAAACACAAAACCCAGCCCUACCUCUAGAACUACUUAACAAAGGUUUUGAGAUUUGUGGAUAAGCUAUACACAUUCUUCUCCAGAAAUCACACACUGCUGUUGUUCCUUCACUUUAAAAAGAGAAAAUAAAAUAAAAUUGAGACCUGCAAACCAUUCAGCCUUCUUCAUUUUAUUGUGUCACUAUCUCUGGUUCACUUUACUGCAGACUUUCAGACUCACAAUAAUCUCUCCUUUUUGGGGGGGAGGUGUACACUGCAUAGUCAUUCAGGCUGCAGACAUUUAUGGAAGUCUCCUGUGUGUGAAGCAGGAAUGCAGAAGAAAACAAAACACAAGGAAACAAACAUCUAGACACAUGUAGCUGACAGUUACUGCACAAGUCCAGGAGCUCUGCAUUCAUGGGGAAGAAGUACAGUGCAUGCGGAGUAUAGGGAUUGCGUUGUGGACGCUGAUCCAGGUGGAGGACAAGGAGGUCAGGGAAGGUUAGCACAGGGAAGUGACAUUUAAGGUCCGACGUGAAGGAUGAGUAGAAAUUUACCAGGGUAAGUAGUGGGGGAGGAGAGUUCCAGGGCUUGUGGAAAACUCUAUAACCAUCAGCACUCAACAGCUUGUGGCUUUUGUCUACCAGCACGUGGGGUUAUAAAAUAGAAUGCAGUGUGACUCAUAAAUUGACUUAGGUGGGAGUUUCUUAUUUUCCCAGUCACAGAAUUAAAUACAUGUCAUAUAAUCAUGCAUUGCUUAUCAACAAUGAUACUUUCUAAGAGAUGUAUUGUUAAGCAGUUUCUUUGUUGGGGUAACAUAAUAGAGUUACUUACACAACCCUAGAUGCUAUAGUCUACUACACUACCAAACCUAGAUGCUGUAGUCAGAAUAGCCUGUUGCUCUCAGGCUACAA